RNAcentral lists this ribosomal RNA (490 nucleotides) under Escherichia coli. RNAcentral's name for it is "bacterial SSU rRNA". It matches the Rfam family "Bacterial small subunit ribosomal RNA", at positions 291 to 773 of the family's 1533-position model. Lineage: Bacteria; Pseudomonadati; Pseudomonadota; Gammaproteobacteria; Enterobacterales; Enterobacteriaceae. The record is from RNAcentral.
UCUGAGAGGAUGACCAGCCACACUGGAACUGAGACACGGUCCAGACUCCUACGGGAGGCAGCAGUGGGGAAUAUUGCACAAUGGGCGCAAGCCUGAUGCAGCCAUGCCGCGUGUAUGAAGAAGGCCUUCGGGUUGUAAAGUACUUUCAGCGGGGAGGAAGGGAGUAAAGUUAAUACCUUUGCUCAUUGACGUUACCCGCAGAAGAAGCACCGGCUAACUCCGUGCCAGCAGCCGCGGUAAUACGGAGGGUGCAAGCGUUAAUCGGAAUUACUGGGCGUAAAGCGCACGCAGGCGGUUUGUUAAGUCAGAUGUGAAAUCCCCGGGCUCAACCUGGGAACUGCAUCUGAUACUGGCAAGCUUGAGUCUCGUAGAGGGGGGUAGAAUUCCAGGUGUAGCGGUGAAAUGCGUAGAGAUCUGGAGGAAUACCGGUGGCGAAGGCGGCCCCCUGGACGAAGACUGACGCUCAGGUGCGAAAGCGUGGGGAGCAAAC